RNAcentral lists this unclassified non-coding RNA (341 nucleotides) under soil metagenome. Its description in RNAcentral is "partial contains 5.8S ribosomal RNA, internal transcribed spacer 2, and large subunit ribosomal RNA". The stretch from base 1 to 120 matches the Rfam family "5.8S ribosomal RNA", at positions 35 to 154 of the family's 154-position model. The record is from RNAcentral.
GAUGAAGAACGUAGCGAAAUGCGAUAAGUAGUGUGAAUUGCAGAAUUCAGUGAAUCAUCGAAUCUUUGAACGCACAUUGCGCCCCUUGGUAUUCCAUGGGGCAUGCCUGUUCGAGCGUCAUUUGUACCCUCAAGCUAUGCUUGGUGUUGGGUGUUUGUCCUCUCCUUUUACGAUUGGACUCGCCUUAAAGACAUUGGCAGCCAGUGUAUUGGUCUUGAAGCGCAGCACAUUUUGCGAUUCUUGCUGAUAAUCACUAGCGUCCAGUAAGCCUAUUUUAACACUUUUGACCUCGGAUCAGGUAGGGAUACCCGCUGAACUUAAGCAUAUCAAUAAGCGGAGGA